GCUAAUAACCCACCACUGAGCUUUUAUACAGUGUGUCUCUGCUGAAAAUACUCCUACCAUCAAGUGGAUUUCUACUGGUUCUUCUGCUUGUUGUGAUGGGAACCUGGAAGCUGUGGCAAAUGCGGAAGAGAAGAACAAUAAAAAGCAACAGAAUGGAUACACACCAUGAUAAUGAAGUUACAUACAGCACUGUUGUCAUCAAGGCAAAUCGCCAAUCAAACACUUCAAAAGAACGGCAGCUUAAUGACUCUGGAGAUGAAGUGACCUACAGCUCUUUAGUGAUCCAAC
Non-coding RNA from Paramormyrops kingsleyae, 288 nucleotides. The record is from RefSeq and is a predicted model, not a curated record. NCBI's taxonomy places the organism in Eukaryota, Metazoa, Chordata, Actinopteri, Osteoglossiformes, Mormyridae.